RNAcentral lists this long non-coding RNA (458 nucleotides) under Anser brachyrhynchus (Pink-footed goose). RNAcentral's name for it is "lncRNA (ENSABRG00000018616.1)". The record is from RNAcentral. Lineage: Eukaryota; Metazoa; Chordata; Aves; Anseriformes; Anatidae.
GAGGUAAAAAAAAAUAGUGAAAGAAGAGUUGGUGAGUUAUCCUGAAGAAUUCCAGCCGCCUUAUAUGUUGUAUCCUUAGACCCUUCUUCUGUAAGUUCAAGCAGGUUUCUUCUGAUCUGUAUUACCUAGCUAGCUAGGCUGUCCUGUAUCACAAGUACCCUUGUGCUCCACAAAGGUUAUGAAGAUGCACGUCUGAAAAUCCCGGUGUUACAGGACCUGCCAAGUUUGUGCGUGUGUGUGUGGACAUCACGUGCCCAAACUCCACGUGCCCACGUGCUCCAAUUAUAUGCAGGAAAAGUUUUGAGGCCAUGACACUGCGAGGAAGAUGUGAGAAGUGUGAUGCAAGUUUGCCACAGAGAUUCAGAAAGAAAACACCAAAAAUCAUAAAAGGUGGCAGGAGGAGGCCUGAUCUGGAAGAACCAGAACGGAUCUGGGAGGCAGGAAACCCUGUGUUGUAA